This is a long non-coding RNA of Cornus florida, 556 nucleotides long. RefSeq lists it as uncharacterized. The record is from RefSeq and is a predicted model, not a curated record. Lineage: Eukaryota; Viridiplantae; Streptophyta; Magnoliopsida; Cornales; Cornaceae. The transcript has 2 exons.
UUGACUUUGGCCUUUUUUCCACGUUCUGAUGUGAGUUUAGAUUGCAUUCUUUGUAUUUGGAAUUUGAUUGUUAAAGUGAUAUAUGAAGUGAUAAGGAAAAGUAAGAGAUAAAGGUUGUGGCGGGUCCACUAAAGUUUGUUGUCCCCUAAGCAAUUGAAUUGAUUCAUUUUACUUUGAAUUGAUAUUUAUGAAAUGUCGGUACAAUUGUCUAUAUAUAUUGUGCCUUUUGGUGAUGAUACAGAAGAGAGAAAUAAAGGAAACAUUCACAGAGAAAUCCGAGAGUUUCAGAGGGGGCUGGGAGCAGUGAUGUUGAUGACCCAGUGUUGAUUUAUUCAUUUUACAGUUUUCAGGUACCGAGGAUGAACUUGGAUUUAUAGUUGCGGGCUUAGGUGGAAGAGUUGGAGUUGAGGAAUUAAAUUAUUUUAUUUAGAGAUUUUUAUGUAUUUAUUUGAGGAAAUUGAUUUAGUAUCAAUUUAAUUAAUUUGAGAUGUUGUCUUAUUUAUUUGAGAAAAUUUGAUUGAUUUUGUAUCAAUAAAGGGUAUUUUAUUUCUUUUGA